AAAGUACUCCCUCCGUCCCAAAAUUCUUGUCUUAGAUUUGUCUAGAUACGGAUGUAUCAANNCUAGAUACGGAUGUAUCAAGUCACAUUUUAGUAUUAGAUACAUCCGUAUCUAGACAAAUCUAAGACAAGAAAUUUGGGAUAGAGGGAGUAGUUG
Molecule: non-coding RNA, 156 nt
Organism: Triticum aestivum (bread wheat)
Lineage: Eukaryota; Viridiplantae; Streptophyta; Magnoliopsida; Poales; Poaceae
Source: Rfam